Molecule: long non-coding RNA, 201 nt
Organism: Pipistrellus kuhlii (Kuhl's pipistrelle)
Lineage: Eukaryota; Metazoa; Chordata; Mammalia; Chiroptera; Vespertilionidae
Exons: 3
Source: RefSeq, a predicted model, not a curated record
AAAAUUUUUAAUCGUCACCUUAAUACUUCUUUUUGUUGGAUUUUGAAUGGCCAGCCAUCAGGGCCCCCUUUUUUGUCCCCAACUUGAGAUGUAUGAAGGGCUUUUGGUACCUCUGGGAGUGGGUUGAGGUGUGAAGGCAGCCAAGCCAGGGCUUACCUGUACACUGAUGUGAGACCAAGAGCGUGUGUAGGGAUAGAGAGU